AUCGAACGCUGGCGGAAUGCUUUACACAUGCAAGUCGAACGGUAGAGGGGGCAACCCCUCGAGAGUGGCGAACGGGUGAGUAAUAUAUCGGAACGUGCCCAGUCGUGGGGGAUAACGUAGCGAAAGUUACGCUAAUACCGCAUACGAUCUAAGGAUGAAAGCGGGGGAUCGCAAGACCUCGCGCGAUUGGAGCGGCCGAUAUCAGAUUAGGUAGUUGGUGGGGUAAAGGCUCACCAAGCCAACGAUCUGUAGCUGGUCUGAGAGGACGACCAGCCACACGGGAACUGAGACACGGUCCAGACUCCUACGGGAGGCAGCAGUGGGGAAUUUUGGACAAUGGACGCAAGUCUGAUCCAGCCAUUCCGCGUGCAGGAUGAAGGCCCUCGGGUUGUAAACUGCUUUUGUACGGAACGAAAAGGUCUCUCUUAAUACGGGGGGCUCAUGACGGUACCGUAAGAAUAAGCACCGGCUAACUACGUGCCAGCAGCCGCCGUAA
This 496-nucleotide ribosomal RNA is filed under the name uncultured bacterium. RNAcentral's name for it is "partial 16S ribosomal RNA". It matches the Rfam family "Bacterial small subunit ribosomal RNA", at positions 30 to 523 of the family's 1533-position model. The record is from RNAcentral.